AGAUGUCUCCAUCACAAACAUCAUACCGAUCCGCAGUACCGCUACCGCUCAACCGCUGAUUCUGUUUUUGUCGUAAAGUAAACGUAAACUCGUUAACAAAACCUUGCGGUUAAUGUUUGGGCAAUGGGAGUUCGGAAUGAAGAAGUCGUGCUGUGUUUCUUUCAGUAAAGAAAGAUUUGCAUAGAAAGGCGAAAUACUUCAUGAAUAAUUUUACGACAAGAAGCUGCAUAAUGAUACUACGACACACUUUGACAUGAGUAUAUCUGAAAUUCCAGUGAACCAGUCAGUUCACCAGCAACAGUUUCUAGUCCUGGCCAAAAGCCAGAAAACAAUGUAAGAAGAAACAUCAGCAAUUUAUCAUUGCAGGAUACCACAACAGGGUAAUCAAGCGUUUGCAGUCAGCAUACUCAGUAAUCUUGUUUCUAAAGACGAAAUGAAAUCCUUGAAGAUGUCUUGGGACUGUUGUCACUUUGUCCAACAGCGUCCUGGAAGAACUGCAACUUUGCAUCACCACAAUUUAAAACAUUCCAGCCACAGAGUUCCAGCACAGCAUAUCCUUUACAGUUAUGAAAAAAAAAUGUUCCUUCCGUUCCGUCCAGUCUUCCGGUCUUCGGGUGCCUAAGGAAUAUGUUGGAUAUCACUUGGUGGCUAAAAUUAUGUCUGCUAGAUGACGUGAGUGUCUUACUCAAGACAUCAUCAGUGUCAAGACGAAAUUCCGCCAUUUCUUAAACACUGAUUUGAUUGGAAACCAUGUUGAAAACGUAUCGUUUCGAUUGGAUACUUAAUAUGGCGUACUUUUCUUUCUUUAAAUUUUUAUUCGUAAAAAUGGUAUCUAUCUGGUAACAGCCUAUAAUUUCUACAUGGCAAUUUCAUCUGAUCAUGUGGCCUGAGCAGCUGAACAUUUUGCCAAAAUGUCGUGUCUUUUUCCCAGUUUCACGUUUGUCAGAAACACUUCAGAACAAUUCGGGAUUAACACCCUGGUGGAGUUUGAGCUUCUUUGUUGCUGCCCAACUUACACAUGGAUUUGACGCAGCCAGCUGAGGGCUUUUAUUCUUGUUGAUCAUGUAUGUUCGUGUAGUUGCUGUCCGAUGUGGCACGUUGUUGCAGCCUAUGCUGGUGAAAGUUCUUUCUACAUCAAGUUCAAUUGGCCGUUCCUUGGUGCUGAUGUUGUGUUACCGAAGUUGCAUCAUAUUUUGUUAAA
Molecule: long non-coding RNA, 1201 nt
Filed under: Daphnia pulex (common water flea)
Lineage: Eukaryota; Metazoa; Arthropoda; Branchiopoda; Diplostraca; Daphniidae
Description: uncharacterized LOC124196050, transcript variant X1
Source: RNAcentral